Molecule: ribosomal RNA, 679 nt
Filed under: uncultured Lachnospiraceae bacterium
Lineage: Bacteria; Bacillati; Bacillota; Clostridia; Lachnospirales; Lachnospiraceae
Description: bacterial SSU rRNA
Rfam family: Bacterial small subunit ribosomal RNA
Source: RNAcentral
ACAUGCAAGUCGAACGGGAAUUACUUUAUUGAAACUUCGGUCGAUUUAAUUUAAUUCUAGUGGCGGACGGGUGAGUAACGCGUGGGUAACCUACCUUAUACAGGGGGAUAACAGUCAGAAAUGGCUGCUAAUACCGCAUAAGCGCACAGAGCUGCAUGGCUCAGUGUGAAAAACUCCGGUGGUAUAAGAUGGACCCGCGUUGGAUUAGCUUGUUGGUGGGGUAACGGCCCACCAAGGCGACGAUCCAUAGCCGGCCUGAGAGGGUGAACGGCCACAUUGGGACUGAGACACGGCCCAGACUCCUACGGGAGGCAGCAGUGGGGAAUAUUGCACAAUGGGGGAAACCCUGAUGCAGCGACGCCGCGUGAAGGAAGAAGUAUCUCGGUAUGUAAACUUCUAUCAGCAGGGAAGAUAGUGACGGUACCUGACUAAGAAGCCCCGGCUAACUACGUGCCAGCAGCCGCGGUAAUACGUAGGGGGCAAGCGUUAUCCGGAUUUACUGGGUGUAAAGGGAGCGUAGACGGUGUGGCAAGUCUGAUGUGAAAGGCAUGGGCUCAACCUGUGGACUGCAUUGGAAACUGUCAUACUUGAGUGCCGGAGGGGUAAGCGGAAUUCCUAGUGUAGCGGUGAAAUGCGUAGAUAUUAGGAGGAACACCAGUGGCGAAGGCGGCUUACUGGA